UGGCGGACGGGUGAGUAAUGCGUAGGAAGCUACCCGAUAGAGGGGGAUACCAGUUGGAAGCGACUGUUAAUACCGCAUAAUGUCUACGGACCAAAGUGUGGGACCUUCGGGCCACAUGCUAUCGGAUGCGCCUGCGUGGGAUUAGCUAGUUGGUGAGGUAAUGGCUCACCAAGGCGACGAUCCCUAGCUGGUUUGAGAGGAUGAUCAGCCACACUGGAACUGAGACACGGUCCAGACUCCUACGGGAGGCAGCAGUGGGGAAUAUUGGACAAUGGGCGCAAGCCUGAUCCAGCCAUGCCGCGUGUGUGAAGAAGGCCUUCGGGUUGUAAAGCACUUUCAGUUGGGAGGAAGGGUUGUGUGUUAAUAGUACACAGCCUUGACGUUACCAACAGAAGAAGCACCGGCUAACUCUGUGCCAGCAGCCGCGGUAAUACAGAGGGUGCAAGCGUUAAUCGGAAUUACUGGGCGUAAAGCGCACGUAGGCGGUUUUUUAAGUCAGAUGUGAAAGCCCCGGGCUCAACCUGGGAAUUGCAUUUGAAACUGGAAAACUAGAGUGUGUGAGAGGGGGGUAGAAUUCCAAGUGUAGCGGUGANANANUGCGUAGAGAUUUGGAGGAAUNACCAGUGGCGAAGGCGGCCCCCUGGCACAACACUGACGCUCAGGUGCGAAAGCGUGGGGAGCAAACGGGAUUAGAUACCCUGGUAGUCCACGCCGUAAACGAUGUCUACUAGCUGUUCGUGACCUUGUGUCGUGAGUAGCGCAGCUAACGCACUAAGUAGACCGCCUGGGGAGUACGNGUCGCAAGAUUANAANACUCAAAUGAANUUGACGGGGGCCCGCACAAGCGGUGGAGCAUGUGGUUUAAUUCGACGCAACGCGAAGAACCUUACCUACUCUUGACAUCCAGAGAAGACUGCAGAGAUGCGGUUGUGCCUUCGGGAACUCUGAGACAGGUGCUGCAUGGCUGUCGUCAGCUCGUGUUGUGAAAUGUUGGGUUAAGUCCCGCAACGAGCGCAACCCUUAUCCUUAGUUGCCAGCACGUAAUGGUGGGAACUCUAGGGAGACUGCCGGUGAUAAACCGGAGGAAGGUGGGGUAAGAGGGGGGAGUCAUCAUGCCCCCUUACGAG
RNAcentral lists this ribosomal RNA (1127 nucleotides) under uncultured Rheinheimera sp. Its description in RNAcentral is "bacterial SSU rRNA". It matches the Rfam family "Bacterial small subunit ribosomal RNA", at positions 96 to 1208 of the family's 1533-position model. The record is from RNAcentral. Lineage: Bacteria; Pseudomonadati; Pseudomonadota; Gammaproteobacteria; Chromatiales; Chromatiaceae.